Molecule: unclassified non-coding RNA, 256 nt
Filed under: Ascomycota sp.
Lineage: Eukaryota; Fungi; Ascomycota
Description: partial contains small subunit ribosomal RNA, internal transcribed spacer 1, and 5.8S ribosomal RNA
Rfam family: Eukaryotic small subunit ribosomal RNA (bases 1-47)
Source: RNAcentral
AAAGUCGUAACAAGGUCUCCGUUGGUGAACCAGCGGAGGGAUCAUUAUCGAGUUUAUCCAACUCCCAACCCUAUGUGAACCUACCUUUAUGUUGCUUCGGCGGUCUCGCGCCGGGCUGCUCCCUUGGGGGCUCCCGGGACCACGCGUCCGCCGGAGACCACAAACUCUUGAUUUUGCGAAAGCAGUAUUAUUCUGAGUGGCCGAAAGGCAAAAAACAAAUGAAUCAAAACUUUCAACAACGGAUCUCUUGGUUCUG